Molecule: long non-coding RNA, 23788 nt
Filed under: Populus trichocarpa (black cottonwood)
Lineage: Eukaryota; Viridiplantae; Streptophyta; Magnoliopsida; Malpighiales; Salicaceae
Description: long non-coding RNA (PTRI_LNC004531)
Source: RNAcentral
UUGGAUAUUUCUAUUAUCCAGAUGAGCUCGGCUACUAGGCUAUGUCUGAAUGAGAUUAUGAGCUCGUUAGCUGAGCCUUUUCCAUAUUGGCAAGUUGUGGACUCUUAUUGGGUUUUGCAUGUUGGAUUUGGCUCCGAUUUGAUGAAUUAUUUUUUCUUAUUUGGUGAAUGUAUUUUAUCUAUAAAGUAGUAAGUAAAUAGCUAUUCCUGGAAUAAUAAAGGAAUGUCGAAGUUGAUUCGGCUUUUUAUGGUGAAAAGAAAAAAGAUCAAUCCUUCUGUAUUUUGGAAUGCUAGAUAUAGGUACGGUGCUCGUAUUGUUUUCUUCACUUGAGUUAACUGCCCCACAUCAUUCCUGCUUCUUUAUUUUAUUUUCCCCAAAGAAGUUUAAAUAUGGGCUACGGUGCUCAUCAAAUGCAAUAGAUUUUGGAAAUUUAAACAAAGGUAUUUUCUGAUAUUACUAGAGGGCUACGGUGCUUGUGCUGGAGUUUUUACUGCCCCACCUAUCAAAUUGCGGUGGUCAUAUGCAAAGAAAAAUCACUAAAAAGAGUAUCAUCAAUAUUCCAAGAAAGACGGUCCUUCCAAAAUCAUCGAGUUAAUGGACCACAUACCGAUACUGACAUUAAUUGUGUUUUCUUAUGGAAUCACACUAUUGCCGCUCCCAACACGGCAAAGUGACUCAGGUGGUGAUUUUGUUGUGGUAGCUGGAGGUGGAGGAGUGAGGGAGGUUGGUGUGAUGGAUAUGGAGUUAUCAGUACUACUAGUUGUGCUCUCAUCUACGCAGCUUCCAUCCAUUUCUUUUUUGUUGUUGUUGUUGUUGUGAAGAGAGAGGAGCAAGCGAGACAGAGACAGAGAGGGAUGAGGUGUUUUUGUUGACUAGAACUAGAGGUAUGAUUUGAGAAUAUAUAUAGAUAGAGGGUAGAGGUGUUGGGUAAAGUUUUGGGCUUUUAAUUUUAAUUUUUGAUUUUAUGAGUUAAAUUAAGAAAUACGGGGUGGGGUGCACUGUGUAGUCUUGGGAAGAUUCAUGGAGUUAGGGUCGUAGUAUGUGUGUGUGUGUGUGGAGGGUUGUGUAUGUAGGUAGGGUGGGGCCUCCUUCUUAUUACCAUAGGCAUGCUGGAUAUUUUUCCAGGACAUUAAACCAAAACACUGUCAGUCUCGACUCAACUACUUCAAGGAAAGUUUGCCAAUUGCGUGUCUUGGAAGCAACCGGAUUAUCUACUCUAUGAAACAAAGGGCCUACAAGACGGGAAUGAGUCCAUGAAAAAGCCAUGCACUUAAUUCUUUCAUAAAUUUCGCAGGCAAGCAUUAGACGCAAACAUCGCCUACAAGACGCGAGCAAUUAUUUUCUACACGGUCUCUUUCCAUGAAAGGAUGGAUUGACUGCCUGGCCUUCUUAGUUUUCAAAUGCCACUGUUCGUGAUAAAAAAUAGAAUGCCUGUUCUUUAGGGUGACAGAUUGUUGAGACCAAUAAAAACAAACUGAGAAGUACGAGAAACCAAUGGUGGUGAAAUUUCAUGUUCUAUUUUUCACCCAUCAACUCACAUUGUUCAAGUUCCAUUUUAUUUGACGCUGCUUCACCAUGACAGUUGGCAUUGCAUUUCUUCAGUUCUUAAUUUUUGGUGCUAUGAAUUGCUUAACAGUGUAAGCUAGACAAUAAACACCGGUUUUGGACUUUCUCUACACCACAACUAUAUCAAUCUUUCAAGAUUACAGGUUCGAUCCCUUCAGAAAUUGGGAAUUCGAAGAAUUUGUAUGGACUUUCUCUACAUCACUGGUUCGAUUCCUUUUUCAUUAGACAAUUUAAGAAACUUGGCAUUUCUAUAUCUCUCUUAUAACCAAAUCAACGGAUCCAUCCCUUUGAAAAUAUGGAACUUGGCAAAUUUGAAAGCAUUAGAUCUCAGUUCAAACAAUAUCAGUGGUUCCAUUCAUAUCACAGUAGGCAGUUUAACUCAAGGUUCUCAAUUCCGUUCCGGUUUACAUUUUGUUUUUUCAAUUGAAAUGACAUGUUUCGCUUUCAAAGCAUUUCAACAUGCCGUUUCGGGAUUGUACUGUUUAUAUGUGUGUAUAAUUCAAAAUAUUAAUUCAACAAACAUAAUUUCAAUUCAAAUUGAAAGAUAAACUAACUUGAAAUUAUGCUUUUCAAAUUUUAAACACAAGUAAAAAAAAAGGGAGUUGAAUCAAUAUGACUCGAUCAACUAAAUGGGUUUGAAGAUAGUCUGAACGAUUGGUAAAAAUAUAGUUUGACUAAAACAAAUUCAAGAUUACAUAUUUUUUCUUAAAAAAUAUUAAGACGAGAAUAUAUUGGAUCGAUUCAGGUUAACCUUUCAAAUUCGUGACCUCGAUAAUGAGACCAUGAUAACCCUAAAUAAAACAAACCAAAAUAAGUUAUGAAUCUCAAUUACAAGUAAACCCAUUAUUGAAUGAUGAAAGUAGUAAAAAUUCAAUCUAAAAAAAAACAAUAAAAUAACCUUUUUGAACAAAAUUACAAAUUUGAAUAAAAUUAUAAAAAUAUCAUCAGCAGUCUUGCAAGACCUUUUUAAACUCUCAUUACCCUAAAAGUUUAACCUGAGAUUAAAUAAUAUGCAAAGAGAUUCCUCGUAAAAUUUUAACCCGAUUCAUCAGUCGGAUUAAAAGAUGCAAUUGAUACCGUAAAAUUAGAGAGUUUUUUUUUAAAAAAAAAGCAAAAAAAAAAAAAACACUAUUUGGCCGGAAUGGAACCGGAAUGUUCCAGCCAAAACGAAACCAGAACAUUCCGGCUGAGAUUUCCAAAACAGGCCGAGAUUCUGAUUGAGAUGAAAUUUAUUUCGGUUUAUUUUGUUUUUUAAGCUGGAACAAGAAUACUAGUCAUUCCGGACAGAACAAAAUGGAAUUAACAACCUUGGUAUAACCAUUUUGAGAUAUCUAAACCCCUAUUCCAAUCAAAUCAACGGAUCCAUCCCUUUGGAAAUAUGGAACUUGACAAAUUUGGAAGCCAUAGAUCCCGAUUCAAACAAUAUCAGCGGUUCCAUUCAUUCCAGAGUAGGCAGUUUAACCAGUUUGAGAUAUCUUGACCUGUCUUCCAAUCAAAUCAACGGAUCCAUCNNNNNNNNNNNNNNNNNNNNNNNNNNNNNNNNNNNNNNNNNNNNNNNNNNNNNNNNNNNNNNNNNNNNNNNNNNNNNNNNNNNNNNNNNNNNNNNNNNNNUCAUCGAGACAUAUCAAACAAUAUUGUUCUGUUGAUUCAGAAUCCAAGUCUUUUGUUGCUGAUCUUGGUGUGGCUAGACUUCUCGAUCCUGAUUCGUCGAAGCAUACCGUACUUGCUGGUACCUAUGGAUACAUUGCCCCACUUAAAACUAUUUCUUCUCAAUAGACAUUGAUGGGAAGGCAUCCGGGAAAUUCCUAUCAUCAUAUGCUCAGGUUAUUACACUAAAAGAAGUGUUAGAUCCUCGUUUGUCACCUCUAACACAAAAAAUUGUCAUACAAAAUAUAUGUAUCAUUGCAACUCUGGCAUUUUCUUGCUUACUUUCGAAUCCAAAAUCUUGACCUUCAAUGAAAUUCAUGUCUCAAGAAUUUUAUCUCGUAAGAGAUCAUUGUGGCAGGUCUUGAGAUUUCUUUGCUGAAGCUGCGAAAUCUUAGCAUGCACAUAAAUGUAGGAGAGAUCAUGGUUCCUUGCUGAAAAUAUCAACUUUGAUCUCAUAUUGAACUGAGCAAGAGCCUCGAAGAGCAUGCAUGUUUGAUAAUGUUUUCACUAUUUCCACUUCAUCUACAAGACGUGGGCAAUUCGGAUUGACUAAGAAUCAAAUCCACAAAUUAAUGGCACGUACGAUGAUCAGAAUACCACUAUGUAUUAGCAUUAUUUUUCUACUCGGUCUCUUUCCAUGAAAAUCAGGGAGAAUACAAUUAACUGAUUGGCCUUCUUAAUUUCCAAAAUCCACUAUUGGUGAUUUGUAAGCCUUUUUCUUAAUCACAACGCGUGAAAGACCAGUGAAAGACCAGAGGAACUUGACUUGGAAUGAGUUCAUGAAAAAACCAUGCACUUCAUUCAUAAACUUAGCAUUAUCAUAGCAUUAGACACAAACAUGGCAUCCAUUGAUUAUGAGCCAAAACUUCUUGCAAUUUUAAGCAUCUCAAUUUUCUUGUCCUGUAUUUUUGUAUCUGUGGCUGCACUUGACUCAGCCUUGCUAGCAUCAGAAGGAAAGGCUUUGGUUGAGAGUGGAUGGUGGAGUGUCAACAGAAACCUCAUCUCAUUUCGUUGCAUGUGGCUUGGCAUAGUUUGUGAUCGGGCUGGAAACAAAUCCCAAGCAGCUAUUGAGUCUUUUUAUACCAGCGCGGGAUUUCAAAUUCUUGCAAGAAUCGUACACGAUUGGAUGGUAAUAUCACUAACGAUCCAUUUUUUAUUUUCCUAUAAUUAUUUUUAAAGUUGUUUUUUAUUUAAAAAUAUAUUUAAAUAAUAUAUAUAUAUAUAUAUAUAUAUUUUAAAAAAUUUAUUUUUAACAUCAAUAUAUAAAAAAAAUCUAAAAUAAUUUAAAACAAUAAAAUAAAAUAAAAUAAUUAUUUUUUUAAAUACUUUUAAAAUCCAAAAAUAAACAACAACCUGACUCUAAAAUUACCAGAAUCCACAAACAUUGUAAUAUUAUUAAUUUUAAUUUUAAUUUAUACUAUUUUUUUGUUCUUAUCUUUAUUCUUUUGUAAUUUAUUUUCUUAAAAAAAUAUUAUAUAAAGACUAAAAAAUGAUAUUUCAAUAUAGCAAUUGCAACAUUGUUCUAUUUUUAUAUUACAUUAAAAAUAAGCUUGAGAUUUUACAUUUCUUUACUAACACAUAUAAUCUUCAUUAUGUUUUAUUAUAUGUAAGCUUUAACUUUUUAUUUCAAAAUUAUAUUUUUUACUCGCCAUCAAAAAACACGUUAAUAACAUUCACACAUUAAUUCAUUUACGUUAGAAAAAAACAAUAAUCAACUUGCAGCUAGGCAAAUAGAAUAGACACGUUAAUAUUUUUUUUUCAUUUAUCAGCAGAGAUAAUUCUCGAUUUAUUUAAUUAAAUGCAUGUAUAUGUCUUUUGAUUUACAAUUAGAUUUCUUUUUGUACAAAAACACAUUUGAAAAGCUUGCAUAUGUUUUUUCUUCCAAAGAAAUUAUCUGACCCGCAGAGAAGUGCAUGUCAAAUAACUAGUAUUAUAAACUAAAAGAGGUGAUGAUUUUAUUGUAUAUCACCUUACAAAACACUAUUCAUUUUAAUAGUGUUUUUUUUUUUUCAAAUCUAUGUUUCUCCCCAAUUUCAUACUUCAACAUUUAAUUUAUUGGAGCUUGGGGUUCAUAAUUUAUUAUGUUUGCUUUAUACGAGGUUAGCCUAGUCUCAUAAUCUAUGUCAUCCUUCAACAUUGUUCAUUUGAGUUUUUUUUAAUAGAUAUGUUUUUUCAAUCUCAUCCUUCAACAUUGUGUUGAUUGAGAAUUAUGCUUAAUGAUUUAUUUUAGUUUAUUUUUUAUGAGGUUAUCACGAUUUCAUGACUCGAGUUACGAGUUUGGUGGGUUAACCCAUUUGACUCGAGUUUUUUUUCAUGUUUUUUUUAAUUGAUAUUUUUAUAAUUUUAUCUUUCAGCAUUGAAUUGAUUAUGAAUUAGACUUCAUGAUUUAUUUUAGCUUGUUUUCUAUGAGCUUAUCUCGAUCUUAUGACUUGGGUCACGUGUUUUGCAGGUUAACCCGUGUAGACUAAGGUUGUUUUAUUGUGUCCUGUUUUUAGAUUGAAUUUUUUUUCUUCAAUUUCAACCUUCAACAAUAGGUUUAUUGAAUAUUGAGCUUUAUAAUUUGUUUUGAUUUGCUUCUAUGACUCAUGUUAUUUUUUUGUUUACUUUCUAUAAGGUUAUUUUGAUUUCUUGACCCGGAUCACGAGUUUGACAAUUUAACUCGGGUUAUUUUUUUUUGUCAUUUUUUAUUUUUUUUUCAAUUUUAUUCUUUAGCAUUUGAUUGAUUUGGAAUAAGGCUUCAUAUUUUUGUUUUGGUCUUGCUUUUUAUAAAGUUAUCCCGGUCUCAUUACCAGGGUCAUAGUUUGAUGAGUUAACCCGAGUUGACUUAGGUCUUUUUUGUUUUUAUUUUUUUAAUUUUAUCCCUAAAAAUUGAGAUUUCUUAUCUCGAGUCGUAGGUCAACUCAGGUUUGUUUGUCAUUUGUUUAGUUUAAUUUUUUUUUCCUUAAUUUAUCCUUCAAUAUUGGGUUGAUUUGAGAUUAAGCUUCAUAUUUGUUUUUACUUUCUAUGAGGUUAUCUCGAUCUUAUUACAUAGGUUACGAGUCUGACUGGUUAACUUGAGUUGACUCAAUCUUUUUAAUUGUUUUUUUUUUCAAUUUCAUCCUUCAACAUUGGAUUGAUCGAAAAUUGAACUUCAUAAUUUGUUUUGAUUUGUUUUAUAUAGAGUUAUCUCAGUCAUAUGACACGAGUUGUAGUUUUGACAGGUUAACACAAGUUGACUUUAGUUGUUUGUUUUUUGGUCUCUUUUUUUAUUGAUUUUUUUUUAAUUUUAUCUUUUAACAUUGAUUUAAUUGGGAAUUGAGUUUUAUAUUUGGUUUUGAUUUGCUUUCUAUGUGGUUGUUCCGGUCUUAUGAUUCGGAUUGAGAAUUUGACAAGUUGACCCGAGUUGAUCCAAAAUAUUUUCAACUCAAUAUUUUUUUUAAAACUUGCCAUCUUAAAUUUUUUUAGUAAAACAAUAUUUUUAACAGUUUUUCAGGUUGUCUUUGGAUCUGUUAAGUUAACCGGGUCAUAUCAAGUUAACCCUUACAUGUUUUAAUUUUUUUCAACUAGAAAACACGUUAAUAACACCUAGAUAUUUUUUGCAUUAAAAAAAUUAAUCUGACGUGCAACAUAGUGCGGACAAUGAUCUAGUCUACUCUAUUUAUGAAAGUAAGGGUCCAAGGGGUUGUUUGAGAGUGUGGUAGUGAUUAUUUUUCAAAGUGUGUUUUGCUCAGAAAUGCAUUAAAAUAAUUUUUUUAUAUUUUUUAAAAAUUAUUUUUGAUACCAACACAUUAAAAUGAUCUAAACACAAAAAAAAAAUAUUAAUUUGAAAAAAAGAAAAAAAUUGCAAAAUUAUUUUAAAAAUACUUUUGAUAGGCAAAAAAAAAAAAAAAGAGACCUUAAAAGAGAUGGAAUAAGGAUAGACUAAGAAUGAAAUCCACAAAUUAAUGACAAGAGGAUCAUAAAACAUGUAUUUGGAUUAUUUUCUGCUCGAUCUCUUUCCAUGAAAGUCAGGGAGAAUAGAUUAACUGACUGCCCUUCUUAAUUUCCAAAUGAUACUAUUGGUGAUUGGUGAACCUUUUUCUCCUUUGCCUUAGUUAUUGGAAUUGAUAGAAUUAAAAGUCCUGCAGUGAACGCAUGGACCCAUGGAUCAUCUGUGGUUUCAAAAGACAGAAAGAAAAGUACACAUGAAACACAGACGAUCUUGACUUGGAACGAGUCCAUGAAAAAGCCAUGCACUUCAUUCAUAAACUUAGCAUUAUCAUUGAAGGCAAGCAUUACACGCAAACAUGGCAUCCAUUGAUUAUGAGCCAAAACUUCUUGCAAUUUUAAGCACCUCAAUUUUCUUGUCCAGUAUUUUUGUAUCUAGUACUGGUCUUGUGGCUGCACUUGAUGACUCGGCCUUGCUAGCAUCAGAAGGCAAGGCUUUGGUUGAGAGUGGAUGGUGGAGUGACUACAGCAACCUCACCUCACAUCGUUGCAACUGGACUGGCAUAGUUUGUGAUGGGGCUGGAAGCAUCACUAAGAUUUCCCCACCUCCAGAGUUCCUCAAGGUGGGAAAUAAGUUUGGAAAGAUGAACUUUUCUUGCUUCUCAAACCUUGUCCGUCUCCACCUGGCCAACCAUGAGCUCAGUGGGAGCAUCCCGCCUCAAAUUUCUAUCCUUCCACAACUCAGAUACCUCAACCUGUCCUCAAAUAAUCUAGCAGGUGAGUUACCGUCUUCACUUGGAAAUCUCAGCCGAUUAGUUGAGCUUGAUUUUUCUUCCAAUAAUUUAACCAAUUCCAUCCCUCCAGAACUAGGCAAUCUUAAAAAUCUUGUUACUUUGAGCUUGUCUGAUAACAUCUUCAGCGGCCCAAUCCCUUCGGCACUUUGUCAUUUGGAAAAUCUAAGGCAUUUAUUUAUGGAUCAUAAUAGUCUCGAAGGUGCCCUCCCUAGAGAAAUAGGGAACAUGAAAAAUCUAGAGAUUUUGGACGUGAGUUAUAAUACACUUAAUGGUCCAAUCCCUCGAACAAUGGGUAGUUUAGCCAAGUUGAGGUCUUUGAUCCUUUCUCGCAACGCAAUCGAUGGAUCCAUUCCUUUGGAAAUAGGAAAUUUGACGAACCUUGAAGAUUUAAAUCUUUGCUCUAAUAUCCUAGUUGGUUCAAUUCCUUCAACGAUGGGUCUUUUACCCAACUUGAUUUCUCUAUUUCUUUGUGAGAACCAUAUCCAAGGAUCCAUUCCUUUGAAAAUAGGAAAUUUGACGAAUCUAGAAUAUUUAGUUCUUGGCUCUAAUAUCCUAGGUGGUUCAAUUCCUUCAACUUCGGGCUUUUUAUCCAAUUUGAUUUUUGUAGAUAUUUCCAGUAACCAAAUCAAUGGACCCAUCCCCUUAGAAAUAGGAAAUUUGACGAAACUACAAUAUUUAAAUCUUGAUGACAACAAGAUCACUGGUUUGAUUCCUUUUUCAUUAGGCAAUUUAAGAAACUUGACAACUCUAUAUCUCUCUCACAACCAAAUCAACGGAUCCAUCCCUUUAGAAAUACAGAACUUGACAAAGUUGGAAGAAUUAUAUCUGUAUUCAAACAAUAUCAGUGGCUCGAUUCCUACUACAAUGGGCCGUUUAACCAGUUUGAGAUUUCUAUCCCUCUAUGACAACCAAAUCAACGGAUCCAUCCCUUUGGAAAUACAGAACUUGACAAAGUUGGAAGAAUUAUAUCUGUAUUCAAACAAUAUCAGUGGCUCGAUUCCUACUAUAAUGGGCAGUUUAAGAAAACUAAACCUUUCUCGAAACCAAAUGAAUGGACCCAUCUCUUCAUCUUUGAACAAUUGUAAUAAUUUGACCUUGCUAGAUUUGAGCGGCAAUAAUUUAAGUGAAGAGAUACCCUACAAUCUAUAUAAUUUGACCUCUUUACAAAAAGCGAAUUUUAGUUACAAUAAUCUCUCAGGCCCUGUUCCCUUGAAUUUGCAACCACCCUUUGAUUUUUAUUUCACAUGUGAUUUACUUCUUCAUGGGCAUAUUACCAACGAUUCUGCAACUUUUAAAGCUACUGCAUUUGAGGGCAACAGAUAUUUACACCCUGAUUUCUCAAACUGUUCGUUACCUUCAAAAACCAACAGAAUGAUUCAUUCCAUCAAGAUAUUACUUCCUAUCACUGCCAUUUCACUUUGUCUCUUGUGUCUCGGAUGUUUUUAUCUAUCUCGAUGCAAGGCUACCCAACCUGAGCCAACAUCAUUAAAGAAUGGAGACUUGUUUUCCAUAUGGAAUUAUGAUGGGAGGAUUGCAUACGAAGACAUCAUUGCAGCGACCGAGAACUUUGACCUCAGAUAUUGUAUCGGAACCGGUGGUUAUGGGAAUGUCUACCGAGCACAACUUCCAAGUGGGAAAUUAGUUGCCUUGAAGAAACUUCAUCGUCGAGAGGCAGAGGAGCCGGCUUUUGACAAGAGUUUAAAAAAUGAGGUGGAACUGCUCACACAAAUACGUCACAGGAGCAUUGUAAAGCUUUAUGGAUUCUGUUUACACCAGCGCUGCAUGUUUCUUGUUUACGAGUACAUGGAAAAGGGAAGCUUGUUUUGUGCCUUGAGAAAUGAUGUUGGAGCCGUGGAACUGAAGUGGAUGAAAAGAGCACACAUCAUCAAAGACAUUGCUCACGCAUUAUCUUACUUGCAUCAUGAUUGCAACCCACCAAUUGUUCAUCGAGACAUAUCAAGCAGCAAUGUUCUGUUGAAUUCAGUAUCCAAGUCUUUUGUUGCUGAUUUUGGCGUGGCUAGACUUCUCGAUCCAGAUUCGUCCAACCAUACUGUACUUGCUGGUACCUAUGGAUACAUUGCCCCAGGUCAAAUAUUUCUUCUUUAUAUACGUGUAUCACUCAUGUCAUGCACACCAACAUUAAAGCAAACUCUCUCUUAUAUAUAUUUUUUUAAUUUCAUUUUGUUUAUGGACAGAGCUGGCUUAUACUAUGGUGGUGACAGAGAAAUGUGAUGUCUAUAGCUUUGGAGCAGUGGCGCUAGAAACGUUGAUGGGAAGGCAUCCAGGAGAUAUCCUAUCAUCAUCUGCUCGGGCUAUUACACUGAAAGAAGUGUUAGAUCCUCGUUUGUCACCUCCGACAGAUGAAAUUGUCAUACAGAAUAUAUGUAUUAUUGCAACUCUGGCAUUCUCUUGCUUACAUUCGAAUCCAAAAUCUCGACCUUCAAUGAAAUUCGUGUCUCAAGAAUUUCUAUCUCCCAAGAGAUCACUGGCAGGUCUUGAGAUUUCUUUGCUGGAGCUGCGAACUCUUGGCAUGCACGCAAAUGGAGGUGAUAUCACAGUUCCUAGUUGAAAAUGUGAACUUUGAGCUCACAUUGAAGUUUAUAAUAUUUCUUAAUUUUGGAAGAACUUCUUUCUUUUAGUACAUUAAAUGUCUUUAUAAUAUUUUAGGGUGACAUUGUAUGUAAUUUUAACAAUGCACACUUUUCUCGUGUACUGUAAAAUCAAUUAGAGCAUCACUGUCUAGGUUAAAUUGAAAUCAUCACUCAUCUUACAAUUAGGCAAAUCCCCACUUGAAAUAUGCAGAAGAUAUUUGUUAACUCCAUUUGUGCCUGCAAGCUCUUGUAUAUUGGAUGCCUGAAAGCAGUGUUUGGAGAUUGAUUUUUUUUCUGACUGAUGUGCUUUGGUAUUGAUCAUUUGGCACAGAUGGGAUUUUCAAUCAUCUUCCAAAGGAAUACCACUUCAAGAUUUAUGUCUCAUGUUUGGAACCGAAAGAAGUUAAAAGAGAGAGUUUUUGUUGUCUCAGAGACAUUUACUAACAGAAAAAAUGAUUUCUUCGUAUCAGCCUCUGGUUUAUAAAUAAAAGAAUGGAACCAGGUUUUUAAGUUGAAAUUCUUUACCAUGAUACCACAUUGAUCAUCCUUAUUCCCCUUCAUGAUAUCUUUAAAUGAGAAAAAGCUUGGAGUGCGCAACUGUCCUGAUGAAGGGCAAUCCUCAGUGUUGCACGUCCCCGCACGGUGAUUUGGUGAUUUUUCACGGUGAUUCGGCAAUUUUUCAUUAUGUUUCCUUGAUUGGUUAUUUAAGAGUCGCCAUCUAGUAUUUGAUUAAAAACUACUAGAAAACCUGAAUAUACUGAUCUUUGUCAGAAAUUUAAAGAUAAGAAACUAAUUAUGACUAAAAAAUAUAUUAGCACCCCUAACACACCCUACCUGAGAUAAGCUGCUUUGUAAUUUGAUGUUCCUUAAGAUAUUUAAUCAUAUUCAAAUUAAACACUUAGUUUUUUUUAUCUUUUUUAUUUUUACAAUUUAAUAACAUAAAUAAAAUACAAACACACACCAACAUUCCUUUUUUACUAUCCUCAACUCACACAUCACUUUUACAUAUUACAAAAUAUCAAAACAAAUCAAAUACUAUAAUCUAAAUAUACACAGCAACAUUUGAAAAUUACAAAAAGCUUCGGGAACGGUGCUGGAGCACUCUGGGCAUCUUCUGUGAUUGUGUACAGUGGCGGCGCGUCUCCUCCACGCGCCGCCGCGAAAUCCGGGCGGCAGCGGAGAUCCAUAAUGGCUUCCUCCCUUCUUCCUUUCUUCGCCGGCGAUGGGCACCACCGUUACCUGCAAAACAACCAAACGCAGCAAGCAAGUCUGUUGUAGCUUUUUCUUUGUUUUCAGUCCGGCUUUUCUUCCUUCCGAUCUGCCAAAUCUGGAGACGGGCGUUGCACGCGCCGCCAGCAGACCAGGCGUGUGGAUGGCUGGAUCGGCAACUUCCCUCCUCCCAUUUCAUUUCUGCAACGGCGGUGUUGUCCACCGCUGUCAUGGUCGUGAGAUCGGCGCCCAUCCAGGUUUCGGUUCUCUGCCCCUUCUUUACUGCCCUUCGGCCUUCCUUCUCAUUUCCUCAUCGUCUCUGGAGAAGGGAUGCUGCCGCUGGCCGAUUGAUGGUGGUUAGCCGAGAGAGGGUCUGAAAGUCUGUUGAUGAGGGAAUAGAUGGUAUUCUCGGCUGGAGGUUUCAGUCGGCUGAGAGGGGGUAAAGUGAGGGGGACGGCCGGCUGGCUUGUUUUUGACAGAGGGCCAGGGGGCCACGGCCGGCCUCUGGUUCUGGGAGCGCCGAGAGAGGGAGGCCGUGGAGGCCGGUGUGCAGGGGAGGUUAGUCUGUGGGCGGCUGAAGAGGGAAGACAAAAUGGCCAAGGGGAGAAGGUGGCCGAGAGGGACAGGGGAGGCUUGCGGCUGUUUUCGUGCUCCCUGAUGCUCUUUUAGCCAAGGGAAGGGCCAAGCUCUGGCUGGUUUCGGGAGAAGGAAAAUGAGGAGAGGCAGGGGGUUUUGCCGUGGCUUUGGUUCUCUUUGUUUUUAGCCAAGGGAGGGGGCAGCCUUGUGAGGGAGAAGAAGAUGGGGAGUGGGUGGUCGCCUGCUUGGAGAGGGAGAGUGGCGGCUCAAACAGGGAAAGAGAGCUUCUCUGUAGGGAAAUGGGGAGCCGACUACAAUAGCAGAGAGGGGUUCUGGUUUCUCCAAGGGAGGGGCGGCCGAGAGCUGGAAUCAGUUUAGGUUUAGGGUUUUUUAGUUUUUGUUCCCCAAAAUUGUCUCCGCCUCCAUGCCUGUAAAAUUUUUCUCUCCUCUCCCCCUUUUUUUUUCACUGUAGCAUGUUAUUUAUAAAAGAAGUUUUGCUAGGUCUUCAAACUAAUCCCUCAACUUUUCAUUUCCUUUUUUUUUUUGUAAAUUUUAAUUUUUUUAAUUUUUUUUAUUUUUAAAAGCAAGCAAUAUCAACAUCAACUCAACAAGAAAAAUCAAUGAUCAUAAAAUUUACACGUUAAAAGUUGAACGCGUUCCAAAUAGCUUUGAAAAUUUAAAUUUUUUUGAGAUAACGUUGAAAAUGCUAAAAACGAUGCAAAUAUAUUAAAAAUAUAUUUUUUAGUAUUUUUUUACUAUUUUUUGGUUUUUUCUGUAAAUUUAUUAAAAAUUGGAUAGCAACACUCAGGACCAACAUCUGUCAUCUCUUUCUGAGGGCAAAGCCCAACCCCAAAACUUGCUUGCCGGAGCACACAACAUCAGGCUCUUAUUAUCAUAUGCUUCACCACUGCACCACCCCUCCGAGCCGUGAAACAACCUCAUUUUCGAAACCUUUCCUCGGUAAAUUAACAUGCUCACAAGUAACCUGAUUAAAGAUCACAGUAGGAUUAAAAGGGACGAAUCACCGAAACAUAAAAAACCAUCACUGAAAUUAAGAACAAUGAGAUUACUACUAGUAAGUCUAAGUUAUUGCUGGAAUGGAGAAUGGGGCGAUAGUAAUCAAACAUUACAAGGUGUUCAUGGACAUGAUAACUAGAAUUGAGUUAAAUUUAUGUUUUAAUACAUAAAAACGUACUUAAUAAUUUUUAUUUUUAAAAUAAUGAUAUAAUAAUCAAAAGCAAAGCAAUGGUAAAUGGCUAGUUCAGAAAAAGCUUGACGGAGCUGAACAAGAUUGAAAAGAAAACAAUAGUUUUUUUUUUUUUUAAAAAAAAAGGUUUGAGAUACUCCAGAGCUAAUUUAUCACAUGAAGACAAAAUAAUUCUCAAUAAUAAUCAAAUAAAUUACAAGAAAAAUAAAUGUUUUCUAGGCCUAAUACAACUUAAUUGUUUAUACUACUAGUUAUAAAAAUAAAUUACAACUUGUUUAAAUAAGUAUUCAACUUAUUUUUACUGAAAAUAAAAAUUCUAAAAUAACCAGAAAAAAUAAAGAAAAAAAAUCCAAAUACAUGUAGAAAAAUUAAGAAAAUAAUGUUGUCUAGGCCUAAUAUGAAAGCCUUCUUGACCUUAACUUGUUACAGUAGCAACCCAUUAAUUAUAAAACAAGGCAUUUAGAAUAUACCGGUAAAAUUCAAAUAAUAUCUAACGACAAGAGCUUAUUUUCGUUAAAAAAUAUUAUUUGGAGCAUCAGAUAUUUUUCUUGAACUUCGAUAGGUCCAUAUAGUCAAUAAAUCGUAUAUGCUAAAUGUUUUAAAUAUAUAGUCUAAUUAUAACAAAUGAUUAUAUGACAGUUCAUAUUCACCUGCAUGAAAGCUCUAUAUAUAUACCCAUUAUCUUGGUGACAAUUGACAAGUCUCAUAAUCUAUGUUGCGAGUUUGGUGGGUUAACUUGAUUGAGUUGAGUAUUUUUUUUUAAUUGAUAUUUUUUUCUAAUCUCAUCCUUCAACAUUGAGUUGAUUGACAAUUAUACUCAUGAUUUAUUUUGGUUUGUUUUUUAUGAGGUUAUCUUGAUUUCAUGAUUCGAGUCGCGAAUUUGACGGGUUAACUCAGUUGACUCGAGUUUUUUUUUUUAAUUUUUUUAAUUGGUGUUUUUUCAAUUUUAUCUUUCAGCAUUGAGUUGAUUAUGAAUUAGACUUAAUAAUUUAUUUUUGUUUAUUUUCUAUGAGAUUAUCCCGAUCUUAUGACUUGGAUCACAUGUUUUGCAAGUUAACUCGUGUAGACUGAGGUUGUUUUAUUGUAUCUUGUUUUUAGGUUGAUUUUUUUUUCUUUAAUUUCAACCUUCAACAAUGAGUUUAUUGAAAAUUGAGCUUUAUAAUUUUUUUUAUUUACUUUCUAUGACUUAGGUUAUUUUUUUAUUUACUUUUUAUAAGGUUAUCCUGAUUUCUUGAUCCGGAUCAUGAGUUUGACAGUUUAACUUAGAUCAAUUUUUUUUGUUAUUUUUUAUUUUUUUUUCAAUUUUAUCCUUCAACAUUUGGUUAAUUUGGAAUCAGGCUUCAAAGUUUUUUUGGUCUUGCUUUCUAUAAAGUUAUCCUAGCCUCUUUACCAGGGUCACAAUUUGGCUAGUUAACCUGGGUUGACUCAUGUUUUUUUUUUUUAAUUUCAUCCCUAAACAUUGAGAUUUUUUAUCUCGAGUCGUAUAGGUCAACUUAGGUUUGUUUGUUAUUUUUUUAGUUUAAUUAUUUUUUUUCAAUUUUAUCCUUUAACAUUUGGUUGAUUUGGGAUUAAGCUUCAUAUUUGUUUUUGCUUUCUACGAGGUUAUUUGGUCUUAUUAUAUAGGUCACGAGUUUGGUUGGUGAACUUGAAAUGAUUCAGUUUUUUUUAAUUGAUUUUUUUCAAUUUCAUCCUUCAACAUUGGAUUAAUUGAGAAUUAAACUUUAUAACUUAUUUUGAUUUGUUUUAUAUUGAGUUAUUUCAGUCAUAUGACCCGGGUUGUAGCUUUGACAGGUUAACCUGAGUUGUUUGUUUUUUGGUCUCUUUUUUUAAUUGAUUUUUUUUUUAAUUUCAUCUUUUAACAUUGGUUUAAUUGAGAAUUGAGUUUUAUAUUUGAUUUUGAUUUACUUUCUAUAUGAUUAUUCUGGUCUUAUGAUUCGAGUCGUGAAUUUGAUAGGUAACCCAAGUCGAUUCAAUAUGUUUUCAUCUCGAUAUUUUUUCAAAAACAUGCCGUCUUGAAUUUUUUUAAUAAAACCAUAUUUUUAACGGUUUUUCAAGUUGUUUUUUGACCCGUUAAGUUAACUAGGUCACUUCAACUUAACCUAUAUAUGUUUUAAUUUUUUUCAACUAAAAAACAUGAUAAGAACACGUAGAUAGUUUUUAACUUUUAAAAAAUUAAUCUGACCUGCAGUACAGCAAGUAGCACUACUCUAUUUAUGAAAGUAAGGGCCUAAAAGACGUGUGCAAUGCGGAUCGACUGAAAUCCACAAAUUAAUGGCAAGAGGAUCAGAAUACAUGUAUUUGGAUUAUUUUCUGCUCGAUCUCUUUCCACGAAAAUCAGGGAGAAUAGAUUAACUGACUGGCCUUCUUAAUUUCCAAAUGAUCAUGCUAUUGGCGAUUGGUGAACCUUUUUCUCCAUUGUGGAAAAAGAAAAAAAAACUAGCUAGACAAUCUGAAGCUAUUGUCUUAGGCAUUGGAAUUGAUAGAAUGAAAAGUCUUGCAGUGGACGCAUAUGCCCAUGCAUCAUCUUUGGUUUCAAAAAGACAGUAAGAAUAGUACACGUGAAAGACCAGAGGAACUUGACUUGGAACGAUUUCAUGAAAAAACCAUGCACUUCAAUCAUAAAUUUAGCAUUAUCAUUGAAGGGAAGCAUUACACGCAAACAUGGCAUCCAUUGAUUAUGAGCCAAAACUUCUUGCAAUUUUAAGCAUCUCAUUUUUCUUGUCCUGUAUUUUUGUAUCAAGUACUGGUCUUGUGGCUGCACUUGAUGAUUCAGCCUUGCUAGCAUCAGAAGUCAAGGCUUUGCUUGAGAGUGGAUGGUGGAGUCAAUACAGCAACCUCACCUCACAUCGUUGCAAGUACUGGCCUGGCAUAUUUUGUAAUAGGGCUGGAAGCAUCACUAAGAUUUACCCACCUCCAGAGUUCCUCAAGGUGGGAAAUAAGUUUGGAAAGAUGAACUUUUCUUGCUUCUCAAACCUUGUCCGUCUCCACCUGCCCAACCAUGAGCUCAAUGGAAGCAUCCCGCCUCAAAUUUCUAUCCUCCCACAACUCAGAUACCUCAACCUGUCCUCAAAUAAUCUAGCAGGUGAGUUACCGUCUUCACUUGGAAAUCUCAGCCGAUUAGUUGAGCUUGAUUUUUCUUCCAAUAAUUUCAUCAAUUCCAUCCCUCCAGAACUAAGCAAUCUUAAAAAUCUUGUUACUUUGACCUUGUCUGAUAACAGCUUCAGCGGCCCAAUCCCUUCGGCACUUUGUCAUUUGGAAAAUCUAAGGCAUUUAUUUAUGGAUCAUAAUAGUCUCGAAGGUGCCCUCCCUAGAGAAAUAGGGAACAUGAGAAAUCUAGAGAGUUUGGACGUGAGUUAUAAUACACUUAAUGGUCCAAUCCCUCGAACAUUGGGUAGGUUAGCCAAGUUGAGGUCUUUGAUCCUUUCUCGCAACGCAAUCAAUGGAUUCAUCCCUUUAGAAAUAGGAAAUUUGACGAAUCUAAAAGAUUUACAGCUUAUAUCUAAUAUCCUAGUUGGUUCAAUUCCUUCAACGAUAGGUUUUUUAUCCGAUUUGACUAAUCUAGAUCUUUCUUAUAACGUAAUCAAUGGAUCCAUCCCUUCGCAAAUAGGAAAUUUGACGAAUCUAGAACAUUUAGAUCUUUCCUCUAAUAUCCUAGCUGGUUCAAUUCCUUCUACAUUUGGUUUUUUAUCCAAUUUGAUUCUUUUGCAUCUUUUUGACAACCAAAUCAAUGGAUCCAUCUCUUUAGAAAUAGGAAAUUUGACAAAUCUAUGUCGUUUGUUUCUCAAAGGCAACAAAAUCAGUGGUUCGAUUCCUAUUUCAUUAGGAGAUUUAAGAAACUUGGCAUUUCUAGACCUAUCUAACAACCAAAUCAAUGGAUCCAUAGCUUCAUCUUUGAAGAAUUGUAAAUAUUUGACCUAUCUAGAUUUGAGCUACAAUAAUUUAAGUGGACAAAUACCCUCCCAACUACAUAAUUUGCCCUCUUUAUCUUAUGUGAAUUUUCGUUAUAAUAACCUCUCAGGCUUUGUUCCCUUGCAAUUGCCACAACCCUUUGAUGUGUCUUUCACCUGUGAUUCUCUUCAUGGGCAAAGAACCAACAGUCCUGAAAUUUUUCAAGCUACUGUAUUUGAGGGCAACAAAGAUUUACACCCUGAUUUCUCACGUUGUUCAUCUAUUUACUCCCCACCUUCAAAAGACAACAGAAUAAUUCAUUCCAUCAAAAUAUUUCUUCCUAUCACCACCAUUUCACUUUGUCUCUUGUGUCUCGGAUGUUGUUAUCUGUCUCGAUGCAAGGCUACCCAACCUGAGGCAACAUCAUUAAAGAAUGGAGACUUGUUUUCCAUAUGGAAUUAUGAUGGGAGGAUUGCAUACGAAGACAUCAUUGCAGCGACCGAGAACUUCGACCUCAGAUAUUGUAUCGGAUCCGGUGGUUAUGGGAGCGUCUACCGAGCACAACUUCCAAGUGGGAAAUUAGUUGCCUUGAAGAAACUUCAUCAUCGCGAGGCAGAGGAGCCGGCUUUUGACAAGAGUUUAAAAAAUGAGGUGGAACUGCUCACACAAAUACGUCACAGGAGCAUUGUAAAGCUUUAUGGAUUCUGUUUGCACCAGCGCUGCAUGUUUCUUGUUUACGAGUACAUGGAAAAGGGAAGCUUGUUUUGUGCCUUGAGAAAUGAUGUUGGAGCCGUGGAACUGAAGUGGAUGAAAAGAGCACACAUCAUCAAAGACAUUGCUCACGCAUUAUCUUACUUGCAUCAUGAUUGCAACCCACCAAUUGUUCAUCGAGACAUAUCAAGCAGCAAUGUUCUGUUGAAUUCAGAAUUCAAGUCUUUUGUUGCUGAUUUUGGUGUGGCUAGACUUCUCGAUCCUGAUUCGUCCAACCAUACUGUACUUGCUGGUACCUAUGGAUACAUUGCCCCAGGUAAAAAUAUUUCUUCCUAACAUGCAUAUUUACCACUCAUGCACUGCAAAACUAAAGCAAACUCUCUUUAUAUAUAUAUUAAUUUCGUUUUGUAUAUGGACAGAGCUGGCUUAUACUAUGGCGGUGACAGAGAAAUGUGAUGUUUACAGCUUCGGAGUUGUGGCGCUUGAAACUUUGAUGGGAAGGCAUCCGGGAGAUAUCCUAUCAUCAUCUGCUCAGGCUAUUACACUGAAAGAAGUGUUAGAUCCUCGUUUGCCACCUCCAACAAAUGAGAUUGUCAUACAGAAUAUAUGUACCAUUGCAAGUCUGAUAUUUUCUUGCUUACAUUCAAAUCCAAAAUAUCGACCUUCAAUGAAAUUCGUGUCUCAAGAAUUUCUAUCUCCCAAGAGAUUAUUGGGAGGUCUCGAGAUUUCUUUCUUGGAACUGCGAAAUCUUGGCAUGCACACAAAUGUAGGUGAGAUCACAGUUCCUCGCUGAAAAAGUCAACUUUGAGCUCACCUGGAACUUCAACGAGAGCCUCCAAGAGCAUGCGUUUAUAGAAUUUCUUAAUUUUGGAAUAAUUUUUUUUUCUUUUGUUUUAGUACACUACAUGUCUUUGUAAUAUUUUAGUGUGACAUUGUAUGCAAUUUUAAUAAUGCACACUUUUCUUGUGCAUGAUAGCUAGUAUCAAUAUACAUGAGCAUCAUAUUAAGUACUCUACCUCUCUGUCUAGCAGGUUAAAUUGAAAUCAUCACUCAUCUUAUAAUUAGGCAAAUCCCCACUUGAAAUAUGCAGAAGAUAUUUGUUAACUCCAUUAAUUUGUCCCUGCAAGCUCUUGUAUAAGAGAUGUCUGAAAGCAGUGUUUGGAUCUACUCUCUACAGUCUGUUCUGACUUCUGUCACUAUCUGAGCAACAUGUUUUGCUCAAUAUUUAUUAUUUGGCAGAGAUUGAAUUUUCAAUCAUCUUCCACUUCAAGAUUUAUGUCUCAUGUUUGGAACCAAGCUUUGACUUCAAAGGAUGGUGAGUUGAGAUGUCCUCCCUCCAUUGUGUAAAUUUUGGAUAUCGGCUUGCCACAAAGUCGACCACCAUAUCUAUCUAGUAAUAAUACACAACAAUAUUGUAGCUGUACAAGAUGCCUAGCUAUAGAUUAUUUUCAGUCUCAGAGACAUUUACUAACAGAGAAAAUAUAUCAUAGUACGUAUCCGAUUAUGAGCACAUGAUUUCUUCGUAUCAGCAUCUGAUUUAUAAAAGGUUGAAACCAAUUUUUAAAGUUGAACUUUACCUUGUUAUCACAUUGAUCAUCCCAUUAAUUUCCCCUUCAUGAUAUCUUUAAAUAAGAAAAAGCUUGUAUAUGCUAAAUGUUUUACAUAGUCUAAUUAGAACAAAUGAUUAUAUGACAGUUCAUAUUCUCCUGCAUGAAAGCUCUAUAUACCCAUUAUCAUGGUGACAAUUGACAAGUCGCCGAUCCAAUUCUGCAAUUAUAUUAGAAUGCAAGGAUAAUAUAUUUAUUUAGGAUUUUAUUAAUUAUCUCAUGGCUAUGUAUAUUCAAUAAUUUCCUUUAAUGAUUACAGCUCCGCAUCAGUUUCUUUCUUGUUCGAGGUUUGUCGGGCCUUCUAUUGAACCAAAACAAAAACAAACUAUUCUAACAUGUCUACGAAACAAAGCCCAAGCAGCUAUCGGCUUAAGCCUUUUUAUACCAGCGCGGGAUUUCAAAUUCGUGCAAGAAUCGUACAGGACUGGUCGGCAAGAUCACUAACAAUCCAUUUUCUGAUUUGUUAGUAAUUAUUUUUUAAAAUAUAUUGAAAUAAUAUUAUUUUAUUUUUUAAAAUUUAUUUUUGAUAUCAUCACAUCAAAAAAAUCUAAAAUUAUUAAAAAUAAAUAAAUUAAUUUAAAGCAAAAAAUAAAAAAAAUAUUUUUAAAACGCAAAAAACAAACAAUAAACUGACUCUAAAAUUACUAGAAUUUACAAGUAUUGUAAUAUUAUUAAUUUUAAUUUAUACUAUUUUUUAUUCUUAUCUUUAUUAUUUUGUAAUUAUUUUCAUUGCAUAUGAAACUUCCGGUUCCACUUCACAAGAAAUAUUAUACAAAGACUAAGAAAAUGAUGUUUUAAUAUAGCAACUACAACGUUGUUCUAUAUUUAAACAACAUUAAAAAUGAGCUGAAAAUCUUAUAUUUCUUUAUUAACGUAUAUGAACUUCACUAUAUUAUAUUAUAUGUAAGCAUUAACCUUUUGUUUCACAACAAUAUUUUUUACUCGCCGUCAAAAAACAUGUUAAUAACACCUACAUAUUAAUUCAUCUGUGUUAGAACAAAAUAAUAAUCAACUUGCAACUACGCGAAUCGAAUAGACAUGCUAAUAUUUUUUUUGUAUUUAUUGGCAGAGAUGAUUCUUGAUUUAUUUUCUUACAUGCAUGUAUAUGCCUUUUGAUUUACAGUUAGAUUUCUUUUUGUACAAAAACACAUUUGAAAAGCUUGCAUGUGUUUUUCUUCCAAAAACAUUAUUUAGCCCGGAGAGGAGUGCAUUUCAAAUAACUAGUAGUAUAAACUAAAAGAGUUGAUGAUUUUAUUGUUCAUCACCUCACAAAACACUAUUCAUUUUAAUAGUGUUUUUCCCUCCUAAAUCUAUGUUUCUUCCUAAUUUUAUACUUCAACAUUUAGUUUAUUGGAGAUUGAGCUUUAUAAUUUAUUAUGGUUUACUUUAUAUGUGGUUAGCCUAGUCUCGUAAUCUAUGUCACGGGUUUAGCAGGUUAAUUCAGUUGAUUUGAGUUUUUUUUAAUUGAUUUUUUUUCAAUCCCAUCCUUUAGCAUUGGAUUGAUUGAUAAUUAUGCUUCAUAAUUUAUUUUGGUUUGUUUUUUAUGAGGUUAUCCUGAUUUAAUGAGUCGAGUCGCGAGUUUGGUGGGUUAACCCAGUCGACUCGAUUUUUUUUUUGUCUUUUUUUAAUUGAUAUUUUUCCAAUUUUAUUUUUCAAUAUUGAGUUGAUUAUGAAUUAGGUUUCAUUAUUUAUUUUGAUUUAUUUUCUAUGAAGUUAUCUUGGUCUUAUGAUUUGGGUCACGUAUUUUGCAGGUUAACACAUAUAGACUGAGGUUGUUUUAUUGUGUCCUAUUUUUAUAUUGAAUUUUUUUUCUUCAAUUUCAACCUUUAACAAUGAGUUUAUUGAAAAUUAAGCUCAUAAUUUGUUUUGAUUUACUUUCUAUGGAUUUAUCAGGUUGACCCGAGUUGACUCAUGUUAUUUUUUUGUUUACUUUCUAUAAGGUUAUCUUAAUUUUUUGACCCGGAUCACGGGUUUGACAGUUUAACUUAUGUCAUUUUUUUUUGUUAUCUUUUAUUUAUUUUUUUAAUUUUAUCCUUUAGCAUUUGAUUGAUUUGGAAUCAGGCUUCAUAUUUUUUUUGGUCUUGCUUUUUAUAAAGUUAUCCCGGUUUCAUUACUAGGGUUACAGUUUGGCGAGUUAACAUGGGUUGACUUAAGUCUUUUUUUUAUUAUUUUUUUUAUUUCAUCAUUAAACAUUAAGAUUUCUUAUCUUGAGUCACAUGUCAACUUAGGUUUGUUUGUCCUUAUUUAUUUAUUUCAAUUUUAUUCUUUAAUAUUUGAUUGAUUUGAGAUUAAACUUCAUCUUUAUUUUUAUUUUCUAUAAGCUUAUCUUAGUCUUAUUACAUAGUUCAAGAGUUCGACUGGUUAACCUGAGUUGACUCAGUUUUUUUUAAUUAAUUUUUUUUUCAAUUUUAUCCUUCAAUAUUGGAUUAAUUGAGAAUUAAAUUUUAUAAUUUUUUUUUAUUUGGUUUAUAAGGAGUUAUCUUAGUCAUAUGACUUAGGUUAUAGCUUUAACAGGUUAACCCGAGUUAACUCGAGUUGUUUGUUUUUUGAUCUUUUUUUUUAAUUUCAUCCUUUUACAUUGAUUUAAUUGAGAAUUGAGUUUCAUAUUUGGUUUUGGUUUGCUUUCUAUGUGGUUAUUUCGGUCUUAUGUUUUGGGUCGUGAAUUUGACAGGUUUACUCGGGUAGAUCUAAUAUGUUUUCGUCUCAAUAUUUUUUAAAAAAACAUGCCAUCUUGAAUUUUUUUAGUCAAACUAUAUUUUUAACGAUUUUCCAAGUUGUCUUUGAGCCCGUUAAGUUGACCUGAUCACAUCAAAUUAACCCCUACAUGUUUUAAUUUUUUUCAACUAGAAAACACAUUAAUGGCAUCUAGAUAUUUUUUGACGUUAAAAAAAUUAAUCCGACCUGCAACAUAGUGCAGACAAUAAUCUAGUCUACUUUAUUUUUGAAAGUAAGGGCCUAAAGGGAUAUUUGAGAGUGUGGUAGUGAUUAUUUUUCAAAGUACGUUUUGCUCGGAAAUGCAUCAAAAUAAUAUAUAUAUUUUUUAAAAAAUUAUUUUUAAUAUUAACAUAUCAAACUAAUAUGAAAACACUAAAAAAAAUUAUUAAUUUGAAGUAAAAAAAAAAUAAAAAAAUUUAAUUUUUUUCAAAAUAUUUUUGAAACCAAAAAAACAUACAAACCUUAAAAGAUGUUAAAAUUCGAAUAGACUUAGAAUGAAAUCCACAAACUAAUGGCAAGAGGAUCAGAAUACAUGUAUUUGGAUUAUUUUCUACUCGAUCUUUUCCCAAGAAAGUCAGGGAGAAUAGAUUAACUGACUGGCCUUCUGAAUUUCCAAAUGAUGCUAUUGGUGAACCUUUUUCUUCUUUGUGGAAAAAGAAAAGGACUAGCUAGACAAUCUGAAGCUAUUGUCUUAGGCAUUGGAAUUGAUAGAAUUAAAAGUCUUGCAGUGAACGCAUGGACCCAUGCAUCAUCUUUGGUUUCAAAAGACAAUUGUGUUGAAAUGCUGCAUUGUUGUAAAGUUAUUCAUCAUGGCCUUGCUUCAUUUUUAUUUUGCUGAGGUAAAAAAACUUAUGUUUGGGGAGCAUCCAGAUCAAAGAUAGAAUGCUUGUUCUUUUGAGUGGCAAAUUCUUGAGACCAAUAAAAACAGAGUAGUUUGAGAAAACAAUGACUCUUGGCAUUCCAUCAACUCACAUUGCUCAAAUUGCAUUUUAUUUGAAGGUGCCUGCUUCACUAUGACUGUUGGCAUUCCCUUUCUUCAUUUUUUAAUUUUUGGCGCUACGAGUUGUUUAACAAUGUAAGCUAGGCAGUAAACACCGGUUUUGGAGGCGCGUGACCUUCCUUAAGGGUUUUGACCACGCGCUUCCUUGGAUAUUUCUAUUAUCCAGAUGAGCUAGGCUACGAGGCUGUGUCUGAAUGAGAUUAUGGGCUCGUUAGCUGGGCCUUUUCCAUAUUGGCAAGUUCUGGACUCUUAUUGGGUUUUGCAUGUUGGCUUUGGCUCCGAUUUGAUGAUUUUUUGGUGAAUCUAUUUUAUCUAUAACGUAGUAAGUAAAUAGCUAUUCCCGGAAUAAUAAAGGAAUGUUGAAGUUGAUU